This 830-nucleotide long non-coding RNA is filed under the name Physcomitrium patens. RNAcentral describes it as "long non-coding RNA (PPAT_LNC014163)". Lineage: Eukaryota; Viridiplantae; Streptophyta; Bryopsida; Funariales; Funariaceae. The record is from RNAcentral.
ACUAAAAUACUAAGAAAUACUACAAUACUUCCUCCCAGUAACAAUACUCUUUCAUCAACUGAUAACCACAGUGUGCAACCCUGUACUCUCAAAAGACUGCUCAAAAUUCAAUAAAUUCCAUGCAAUAAUAAGAAUAAUAGACUUCAUUCCAACCAAUUUGAAUUCACAGAAUUCCUAUAAUCACAGACUUCCUCUGUCGAAACACAUACACAUAACUCUCAAUAAACAACAAUCAUAAUCUUCCAUCCAUAAUCAAUCUUCCAAUAAUUUUUCAUAUAAUUCAAUCACUCAAUACUCCAAUUAUAUAAUCAAUAACUCAUAAAUCAAUCUCUGAUUUAUUCCACAGACUCACUUCUCAGUAUUCACAAACUAUCCAUUAUUCUUCAACAACAAAGAAAACAAAAGAAACAAAGAGGAAGCACUAAGCUUAACUCAAGCUCAUGACUAUCACAGUUUGGCAUUUUCUUCUUCUCUCCCAUCCUCUUUAUACUACCAUGAGAUACCAACUCCUAUACUAUAGAUGAUAACUACUUUUGCUGACUAUUCAUCCAUUCUACCUGUUAAACCACCAUUUCAAUAGUCAUCUAUCCUUGUUUACACUUUACACUAGGUAUUUAUAUUCUGAAAAUAACUACUUAAUCUACAAUGACCAAUAAUCAAUAAUAGUAACUAAUAAUUAUUAGAGGUAAUCAAUAAUUAAUAACAAUAAUUAAUAAUCAUUAGCGGUAACCAAAAAUCAAUAGCAGUAACCAAUAUCUGGUAGCAAUAACCAAUUUUUAGUAGCAAAAAUCAAUAUUCAGUAGCAUGAACUAAUAUCUAGUAGCAAUAAU